Molecule: ribosomal RNA, 917 nt
Filed under: uncultured archaeon
Lineage: Archaea
Description: bacterial SSU rRNA
Rfam family: Archaeal small subunit ribosomal RNA
Source: RNAcentral
UUCCGGUUGAUCCUGCCGGACCUUACUGCUAUCGGGACAAGACUAAAACAUGCUAGUUGUGCGCAUCCUAGCCACGUUGGGAGCGCAGCAAACGGCUCCGUAACACGUAGUCAAUCUAACCUUAGGACGGGGAUAACCCCCGGGAAACUGGGGCUAAUACCCGAUAGGCGAUAAAAGCCUGGAAUGGCAUUUCACCUAAAGGGUUUUAGUAACAUGCUACUAAAACUGCCUAAGGAUGAGACUGCGGCCGAUCAGGUUGUUGGUGGGGUAACGGCCUACCAAGCCUAUAACCGGUACGGGCCCUGAGAGGGGGAGCCCGGAGAUGGGAACUGAGACAAGGUCCCAGACCCCACGGGGUGCAGCAGUUGCGAAACCUCUACAAUGCACGAAAGUGUGAUAGGGUUAUCCCGAGUGCCGUCCGAUGAGGAUGGCUUUUCCUCGGUGUAAGGACCCGGGGGAAUAAAGGGGGGGCAAGACUGGUGUCAGCCGCCGCGGUAAUACCAGCCCCCUAAGUGGUAAGGACGAUUAUUUGGCCUAAAGCGUCCGUAGCCGGCUUAGUUAGUCUUUCGUAAAAUCCGGUGACUUAAUCAUCGGUCAGCGAAAGAUACUGCUAGGCUUGAGGACGGGAGAGGUCGACGGUAUUCCGGGGGUAGGGGCAAAAUCCUAUAAUCCUCGGAGGACCACCAGUGGCGAAGGCGGUCGACUAGAACGUGCCUGACGGUGAUGGACGAAAGCUGGGGGAGCAAACCGGAUUAGACACCCGGGUAGUCCCAGCCGUAAACGAUGUGGGCUAGGUGUUGGGCAGCCACGAGCUGCUCCGGUGCCGCAGAGAAGUCAUUAAGCUCACCGCCUGGGAAGUACGGUCGCAGGACUGAAACUUAAAGGAAUUGGCGGGGAGCACACAGCGUGAAGCUGCG